UCACAGCAGAGUGGCACCUGGGAUAUGAGGGGUGAGGAAGAGGAUGGGAACAGGGAUGGAGGAGUGGAGGAAGUGGUUCCAGCAGAGAAGAAAGGGUGUGGGGGUGGAAAUGCUCAGAAAGCACCUGGGGGUUACUGGAAGUGCCUCCUCCAUCACUGCAGAGCCUGUGUGGGUCUGUGUGUCACUGCUGGAGAUCCUGCAUGGGGCUCUGUGACCCUGCUGUGUGACUGGGGCACUGUCACCCCUUGCCCUGCAGGCACCUGUGACACUCCUGGUGACAGAAAUCAGCAGCCACAUGGGGCCACCUGAAAACUGCACUCACAGCCCCCUCUUUGUCUGAGGCUGGGCUCUGGACUUGUCUCCACCAGAAAAUAUCCAAAAUUCACAUGGAUCACCUGGAGCAACUCAAACUGCAUUGAGCACUUUGGUUAGUCCAGGUCAAUUCAAAAUGAAAUACUAUCUUUUGAUCCUCUUUGCAAACAAACCUUUUCCUUUUUUUUUUUUUUUUUUUUUUUUUGCAGAAACAACUUUUUUUUUUCCCCUCAUGGAAAAUUCCUGUUUUCUCAGAAACAGAAAAUCUCCCCUAUGGAAAAUUUCCAGUGAGCUCCAAUUCUAAACCUUGAUGCCAGCAAACAUCUAGCAGGCAUUAGCAGAGGGUGACUCAGGGUGUAAUGUAUCAUUUAAUUCUGACUAGGGCAACAUAGCCACAGGAAUUGGAGAACACAAGCAGGCUCUCAGCAUCCCUAACUCAAUAUUCACUAGGCAAUCCACCAAAACCACAUAUGCAGAGCAGGGAAAAAGUGUUACAAUAACACUUCAGUAUUGAAAGCUCAGAUCUACCCUGAGAAAGAAACUGGGAAAAUGUCAUCAGAUGCACCAUCUCUGCUUCCUUUUGCUGACUUCCAAAUCCAACAUGUUUGUGUUACAAGAAGAUGCUUUUAUUUUGUAUUUUUAUGUUUUUAGCAGAUAGUUUCACCACCCAAGGGUCUGAGAGGUUUCCUGCUCCUACAAGCAGUAAAGAAAAUCAUCUGGAAUUUUGUAGGUACAACAGACUUGGAGUUGGUUCUGUUGUUGCACAAGAAAUAAUCUCCAGUCCUUGUCCAACAGCUCUGCUGCUGCUUUCCUGCCCAGAAAAGAGACCAGCUGGCUCAGAAAGUAUUUUUCCCUUCAGCAGGAAAGGGGUGUGGGAUACAAGCCUGUUUCAAAAGACAAAAACCACGGAGAGCUUCUCGAGCAGUUGACUGCAUCCAUGUGUUCUGUUCACCUUGCUAGUCCCUCUGCAAGUUUCCAGGUCACACUGUUCCCUAUGUGAGAUCAGCAGAUCAAGGCAGGUAUGUUCCCCUGUGACAGAGCCUGGAUUUGGCUCAAGUAUUGAGGCUGCAGGGACAGGGGGGAGCCCCUGGGCACUCCUGGAUCACCUCUGAAGGGAGUUUUCAUGGGGGAAGCAAGCAGAUACAAAAGCUCUGCAAAAUUCAAGCUGCAUCUGUCAACAACAAAGAAUGUACAGUUCUCAGCUAACAAUAAAACAUUUAUUCGUUUCCA
RNAcentral lists this long non-coding RNA (1542 nucleotides) under Junco hyemalis (dark-eyed junco). Its description in RNAcentral is "lncRNA (ENSJHYG00000000358.1)". Lineage: Eukaryota; Metazoa; Chordata; Aves; Passeriformes; Passerellidae. The record is from RNAcentral.